GAUGAAGAACGUAGCGAAAUGCGAUAAGUAAUGUGAAUUGCAGAAUUCAGUGAAUCAUCGAAUCUUUGAACGCACAUUGCGCCCGCCAGUAUUCUGGCGGGCAUACCUGUUCGAGCGUCAUUUCAACCAUCAAGCCCCCGGCUUGUGUUGGGGACCUGCGGCUGCCGCAGGCCCUGAAAAGCAGUGGCGGGCUCGCUGUCACACCGAGCGUAGUAGCAUACAUCUCGCUCUGGGCGUGCUGCGGGUUCCGGCCGUUAAACCACCUUCAUAACCCAAGGUUGACCUCGGAUCAGGUAGGAAGACCCGCUGAACUUAAGCAUAUCAAUAAGCGGAGGA
This 336-nucleotide unclassified non-coding RNA is filed under the name soil metagenome. RNAcentral describes it as "partial contains 5.8S ribosomal RNA, internal transcribed spacer 2, and large subunit ribosomal RNA". The stretch from base 1 to 120 matches the Rfam family "5.8S ribosomal RNA", at positions 35 to 154 of the family's 154-position model. The record is from RNAcentral.